This 485-nucleotide ribosomal RNA is filed under the name uncultured bacterium. RNAcentral's name for it is "bacterial SSU rRNA". It matches the Rfam family "Bacterial small subunit ribosomal RNA", at positions 8 to 518 of the family's 1533-position model. The record is from RNAcentral.
AGAGUUUGAUCCUGGCUCAGGAUGAACGCUGGCGGCGUGCCUAACACAUGCAAGUCGAGCGAUUCUCUUCGGAGAAGAGCGGCGGACGGGUGAGUAACGCGUGGGUAACCUGCCCUGUACACACGGAUAACAUACCGAAAGGUAUGCUAAUACGGGAUAAUAUGUUUUUGAUCGCAUGGUCGAAAUAUCAAAGCUCCGGCGGUACAGGAUGGACCCGCGUCUGAUUAGCUAGUUGGUGAGGUAAUGGCUCACCAAGGCGACGAUCAGUAGCCGACCUGAGAGGGUGAUCGGCCACAUUGGAACUGAGACACGGUCCAAACUCCUACGGGAGGCAGCAGUGGGGAAUAUUGCACAAUGGGCGAAAGCCUGAUGCAAGCAACGCCGCGUGAGCGAUGAAGGCCUUCGGGUCGUAAAGCUCUGUCCUCAAGGAAGAUAAUGACGGUACUUGAGGAGGAAGCCCCGGCUAACUACGUGCCAGCCGCAGC